Molecule: ribosomal RNA, 477 nt
Filed under: uncultured bacterium
Lineage: Bacteria
Description: bacterial SSU rRNA
Rfam family: Bacterial small subunit ribosomal RNA
Source: RNAcentral
AACAAACGCUGGCGGCGUGCCUAACACAUGCAAGUCGUACGAGAAAGUCGGCUUCGGCCGAUGAGUACAGUGGCGCACGGGUGAGUAGCGCGUGGGUAAUCUGCCCCCCGGUCAGGAAUAACCCGCCGAAAGGCGGGCUAAUACCCGAUAACACUGACGCUCCGCGGAGCGUCUUUCAAAGAAGGCCUCUGUUUACAAGCUUUCGCCGGAGGAUGAGCCCGCGUACCAUUAGCUAGUUGGCAGGGUAAUGGCCUACCAAGGCUACGAUGGUUAGCUGGUCUGAGAGGAUGGCCAGCCACACUGGAACUGAGACACGGUCCAGACUCCUACGGGAGGCAGCAGUGAGGAAUCUUGCGCAAUGGGGGAAACCCUGACGCAGCAACGCCGCGUGAAGGAAGAAGGCCUUCGGGUUGUAAACUUCUUUGAUAGGGGACGAUAAUGACGGUACCCUAAAAACAAGCCACGGCUAACUACGUG